Molecule: ribosomal RNA, 279 nt
Filed under: uncultured bacterium
Lineage: Bacteria
Description: partial 16S ribosomal RNA
Rfam family: Bacterial small subunit ribosomal RNA
Source: RNAcentral
UGCCAGCCGCCGCGGUAACACGGGGGGCGCAAGCGUUAUUCGGAAUUAUUGGGCGUAAAGGGCGCGCAGGCGGUUCGUUAAGUCAAAUCUGAAAGCCCACAGCUUAACUGUGGAGGGUGAUUUGAAACUGGCGAGCUUGAGUACGGCAGAGGUUAGUGGAAUUCAAUGUGUAGCGGUGGAAUGCGUAGAUAUAUUGAGGAACACCAGUGGCGAAGGCGGCUAACUGGACCGGAACUGACGCUGAUGCACGAAAGCGUGGGUAGCAAACAGGAUUAGAUA